UAUUAAAAAAUUGAUCCAUUUCUAAUGUUAAAAACUGGUGUGGUUGAUGGAAUAACCAGACAAUGACAUAUGGCGUGUCACAUGCACCUCAUGCUCAUGUAUAACACUAGUUUUUUUAAAUAUAGAAAUGGAUGAUUUUUUUAAUC
Gossypium raimondii (Peruvian cotton) is the source of this 146-nucleotide non-coding RNA. The record is from Rfam. NCBI's taxonomy places the organism in Eukaryota, Viridiplantae, Streptophyta, Magnoliopsida, Malvales, Malvaceae.